This 582-nucleotide ribosomal RNA is filed under the name Priestia megaterium. RNAcentral describes it as "bacterial SSU rRNA". It matches the Rfam family "Bacterial small subunit ribosomal RNA", at positions 51 to 614 of the family's 1533-position model. The record is from RNAcentral. Lineage: Bacteria; Bacillati; Bacillota; Bacilli; Caryophanales; Bacillaceae.
AUACAUGCAAGUCGAGCGAACUGAUUAGAAGCUUGCUUCUAUGACGUUAGCGGCGGACGGGUGAGUAACACGUGGGCAACCUGCCUGUAAGACUGGGAUAACUUCGGGAAACCGAAGCUAAUACCGGAUAGGAUCUUCUCCUUCAUGGGAGAUGAUUGAAAGAUGGUUUCGGCUAUCACUUACAGAUGGGCCCGCGGUGCAUUAGCUAGUUGGUGAGGUAACGGCUCACCAAGGCAACGAUGCAUAGCCGACCUGAGAGGGUGAUCGGCCACACUGGGACUGAGACACGGCCCAGACUCCUACGGGAGGCAGCAGUAGGGAAUCUUCCGCAAUGGACGAAAGUCUGACGGAGCAACGCCGCGUGAGUGAUGAAGGCUUUCGGGUCGUAAAACUCUGUUGUUAGGGAAGAACAAGUACGAGAGUAACUGCUCGUACCUUGACGGUACCUAACCAGAAAGCCACGGCUAACUACGUGCCAGCAGCCGCGGUAAUACGUAGGUGGCAAGCGUUAUCCGGAAUUAUUGGGCGUAAAGCGCGCGCAGGCGGUUUCUUAAGUCUGAUGUGAAAGCCCACGGCUCAACC